Molecule: ribosomal RNA, 820 nt
Filed under: Aurantiosacculus castaneae
Lineage: Eukaryota; Fungi; Ascomycota; Sordariomycetes; Diaporthales; Cryphonectriaceae
Description: LSU rRNA
Rfam family: Eukaryotic large subunit ribosomal RNA
Source: RNAcentral
GUGAAGCGGCAACAGCUCAAAUUUGAAAUCUGGCCUUGGCCCGAGUUGUAAUUUGCAGAGGAUGUUUCUGGCAGCGUGCCUUCCGAGUUCCCUGGAACGGGACGCCACAGAGGGUGAGAGCCCCGUAUGGUUGGACACUAAGCCUGUGUGAAACUCCUUCGACGAGUCGAGUAGUUUGGGAAUGCUGCUCAAAAUGGGAGGUAAAUCUCUUCUAAAGCUAAAUACCGGCCAGAGACCGAUAGCGCACAAGUAGAGUGAUCGAAAGAUGAAAAGCACCUUGAAAAGGGGGUUAAACAGUACGUGAAAUUGUUGAAAGGGAAGCGCUUGUGACCAGACUUGUGCCGGGCGGUUCAUCCGGGGUUCUCCCCGGUGCACUCCGCUCGGUUCAGGCCAGCAUCGGUUCUCGUUGGGGGAUAAGAACGGCAGGAACGUGGCCCUCCCUCGGGAGGGUGUUAUAGCCUGCCGUACGAUACCCUGAUGGGGACCGAGGUUCGCGCUCCGCAAGGAUGCUGGCGUAAUGGUCAUCAGCGACCCGUCUUGAAACACGGACCAAGGAGUCGUCCAUUAGAGCGAGCGUUUGGGUGUAAAACCCGCACGCGUAAUGAAAGUGAAAUUAGGUGAGAGCUUCGGCGCAUCAUCGACCGAUCCUGAUGUUCUCGGAUGGAUUUGAGUAAGAGUUUUAACGGACGGACCCGAAAGACAGUGAACUAUGCUUGUAUAGGGUGAAGCCAGAGGAAACUCUGGUGGAGGCUCGCAGCGGUUCUGACGUGCAAAUCGAUCGUCAAAUAUGAGCAUGGGGGCGAAAGACUAAUCGAACUGU